This 500-nucleotide ribosomal RNA is filed under the name uncultured bacterium. RNAcentral's name for it is "partial 16S ribosomal RNA". It matches the Rfam family "Bacterial small subunit ribosomal RNA", at positions 28 to 507 of the family's 1533-position model. The record is from RNAcentral.
GACGAACGCUGGCGGCGUGCUUAACACAUGCAAGUCGAACGGGUCUGCCCUGUUUUUUGCGGGGUGGGUCAGUGGCGAACGGGUGAGUAACCCGUGAGUAACCUGCCCCUCACUUCUGGAUAACCGCUUGAAAGGGUGGCUAAUACGGGGUGUUCUGGCUGUGCCGCAUGGUGUGGCUGGGAAAGAUUCACUUUUGUGGUGUUUUGGUGGGGGAUGGGCUCGCGGCCUAUCAGCUUGUUGGUGGGGUGAUGGCCUGCUAAGGCUUUGACGGGUAGCCGGCCUGAGAGGGUGGGCGGCCACAGGGGGACUGAGGUACAGCCCAGACUCCUGCGGGGGGCAGCAGUGGAGGGUAUUGCACAAUGGGCGGAAGCGUGAUGCAGCGACGUCGCGGGAGCGAUGGAGGCCUGCGGGUUGUGAACCUCUUUGGCCGGUGAAGAGGGUCCUGCUCUUUGGGGUGGGGUUGACGGUAGCCGGGUAAUGAAGCGCCGGCUAACUACGUG